This 1156-nucleotide ribosomal RNA is filed under the name Dicyemidae sp. DS-2016. Its description in RNAcentral is "SSU rRNA". It matches the Rfam family "Eukaryotic small subunit ribosomal RNA", at positions 355 to 1609 of the family's 1831-position model. The record is from RNAcentral. Lineage: Eukaryota; Metazoa; Dicyemida; Rhombozoa; Dicyemidae.
ACGGGUAACGGGGAAUCAGGGUUCGAUUCCGGAGAGGGAGCAUGAGAAAUGGCUGCCAGAUCUAUGGAUUGCAGCAGGUGCGAAAAUUAUCCACUUUUGGCAUAAAGAGAUAGUGAUGAUAAAUAACGGAUCUGGGCAUUUGUUCAGAGAUCGUAAUGAAAUAAUCGUAAAAGCUUUAAUGAACGCAAUUGGAGGGCAAGUCUGGUGCCAGCAGCCGCGGCAAUUCCAGUUCCAAUAGUGUAUACUAAAGUUGCUGCAGUUGAAAAGCUCGUAGUUGGAUCUCGGCUUGCUAGCGCGCAAAGCGCGAAAGUAGGCCUUUGCUGUAGUUGAGUGCUACGGCUUUACCUUGAACAAAAUAGAGUGCUUAAGGCAAGCAUUCUGCUUGAAUAUCUCAGCAUGGAAUAAUAGAAAAAGACUUUUCUGUUGGUUUACCAGUAGUAAAAGUAAUGAUUAACAGAGACAGACGGGGGCAUUCGUAUUGCACCGCUAGAGGUGAAAUUCGUAGAUCGGUGCAGGACGAACUACAGCGAAAGCAUUUGCCAAGGAUGUUUUCAUUAAUCAAGAACGAAAGUUGGAGUAUCGAAGUCGAUUAGAUCUCGUCGUAGUUCCAACUAUAAACGAUGCCAACUAGCACUCCGCUAAUAAGAUUUUGACAUUAGCGGGUUGCUUCCGGGAAACCAAAGUCUUUGGGCUCCGGGGGAAGUAUGGUUGCAAAGCUGAAAACUUAAAGGAAUUGACGGAAGGGCACCACCAGGAGUGGAGCCUGCGGCUCAAUUUGACUCAACACAGAAAAACUCACCCGGGCCGAACACAGUAAGGAUUGACAGACUGAUAGCUUUUUCUUGAUACUGUGGGUAGUGGUGCAUGGCCGUUGUUGGUUGGUGGAGUGAUCUGUCUGGUUAAUUCCGAUAACGAACGAGACUCAAGCCUACUUAUUAGUUGUUUGAUUGUUGGUCGAUCAACUACUUAGAGGGAUCAGUGUUUAAAACACUUGAAAAUGAGCAAUAACAGGUCUGUGAUUGCCCUUAGACGUUCGGGGCUGCACGCGCGCUACAAUGAAGAAAGCAGUGGGUGUCUUGCUUGGCAAAGCAAGCUGAGCCUUAAAAUUUCUUCGUGACAGGGAUCGAGGCUUGUAAUUAUUCCUCGUGCACAAGGA